GAGCGGCGGACGGGUGAGUAAUGUCUGGGAAACUGCCUGAUGGAGGGGGAUAACUACUGGAAACGGUAGCUAAUACCGCAUAAUGUCGCAAGACCAAAGUGGGGGACCUUCGGGCCUCAUGCCAUCAGAUGUGCCCAGAUGGGAUUAGCUAGUAGGUGGGGUAACGGCUCACCUAGGCGACGAUCCCUAGCUGGUCUGAGAGGAUGACCAGCCACACUGGAACUGAGACACGGUCCAGACUCCUACGGGAGGCAGCAGUGGGGAAUAUUGCACAAUGGGCGCAAGCCUGAUGCAGCCAUGCCGCGUGUGUGAAGAAGGCCUUCGGGUUGUAAAGCACUUUCAGCGGGGAGGAAGGCGGUGAGGUUAAUAACCUCAUCGAUUGACGUUACCCGCAGAAGAAGCACCGGCUAACUCCGUGCCAGCAGCCGCGGUAAUACGGAGGGUGCAAGCGUUAAUCGGAAUUACUGGGCGUAAAGCGCACGCAGGCGGUCUGUCAAGUCGGAUGUGAAAUCCCCGGGCUCAACCUGGGAACUG
Molecule: ribosomal RNA, 534 nt
Filed under: Klebsiella pneumoniae
Lineage: Bacteria; Pseudomonadati; Pseudomonadota; Gammaproteobacteria; Enterobacterales; Enterobacteriaceae
Description: bacterial SSU rRNA
Rfam family: Bacterial small subunit ribosomal RNA
Source: RNAcentral